RNAcentral lists this unclassified non-coding RNA (578 nucleotides) under Hevea brasiliensis (rubber tree). The record is from RNAcentral. Lineage: Eukaryota; Viridiplantae; Streptophyta; Magnoliopsida; Malpighiales; Euphorbiaceae.
GGCAUGACUGUCCUAGACGGAACCCAUCUUAGAUCGCUUCAGGUGUCCUUGCCGGACUCCGACGUCACUCUCACCGGAGCUCAGGUCCUCGAUUUCGCUGAAUCCAAAGCCUCUGAUUCCCUCUUUGGUCUUUCAUUGCCUCAGUGUCUCAAGUCCUCCGCUCUCCAUCGCGUCAACGUCGAUGAUGACAUCAGUUUCCGGCGUUCGGAACUCACCAGAGAAGCUGCAACGUCCAAGCUCAAUGACUAUCUCACUGCUAUAGCUGAUGAACUAAAAGAUAAUCCAUUAGUGGUGUCGAUUUUGGAUGGCUGCGGCUGUUUUUGGAGGACGAAGACGAUUUUGCAAUGUUAGCGGAGAAUAUAUUCACUGAUUUGGAUACGAAGGACAAGGGAAAGAUCAGCAAGGGAGAGCUAAGGAAUGCUCUUGUUCACAUGGGAGUUGAAAUGGGUAUUCCUCCUUUCGAAGAAUUUCCUCUGCUAAAUGACAUCUUAAAGAAGCAUGGAGCAGAGGGAGAAGAAGAAUUGGGCCAAUCACAAUUUGCUGAGUUACUUCAGCCUAUUCUACAAGAAGUUGCGGAU